CAUAUUUGCGUCAAGUUAAAGGCUUGCUUGAACAGAAGUCAUUCAUAAAUACACAAACAAAAAAGCCUGUAUCAAACAGUAAUUAUCUUGC
This is a long non-coding RNA of Sinocyclocheilus grahami, 91 nucleotides long. RefSeq lists it as uncharacterized. The record is from RefSeq and is a predicted model, not a curated record. Lineage: Eukaryota; Metazoa; Chordata; Actinopteri; Cypriniformes; Cyprinidae. The transcript has 3 exons.